RNAcentral lists this ribosomal RNA (434 nucleotides) under uncultured Lachnospiraceae bacterium. RNAcentral describes it as "partial 16S ribosomal RNA". It matches the Rfam family "Bacterial small subunit ribosomal RNA", at positions 341 to 792 of the family's 1533-position model. Lineage: Bacteria; Bacillati; Bacillota; Clostridia; Lachnospirales; Lachnospiraceae. The record is from RNAcentral.
ACGGAAGGCAGCAGUGGGGAAUAUUGCACAAUGGGCGAAAGCCUGAUGCAGCGACGCCGUGUGAGUGAAGAAGUAUCUCGGUAUGUAAAGCUCUAUCAGCAGGGAAGAAAAUGACGGUACCUGACUAAGAAGCCCCGGCUAACUACGUGCCAGCAGCCGCGGUAAUACGUAGGGGGCAAGCGUUAUCCGGAUUUACUGGGUGUAAAGGGAGCGUAGACGGUUUGGCAAGUCUGAAGUGAAAUGCGGGGGCUCAACUCCUGAACUGCUUUGGAAACUGUCGAACUAGAGUGCAGGAGAGGUAAGUGGAAUUCCUAGUGUAGCGGUGAAAUGCGUAGAUAUUAGGAGGAACACCAGUGGCGAAGGCGGCUUACUGGACUGUAACUGACGUUGAGGCUCGAAAGCGUGGGGAGCAAACAGGAUUAGAUACCCUGGUA